UGGGGAAUAUUGCACAAUGGGCGAAAGCCUGAUGCAGCAAUGCCGCGUGUGUGAAGAAGGCCUGCGGGUUGUAAAGCACUUUCGGUAGGGAAGAUAAUGACGGUACCUACAGAAGAAGCACCGGCUAACUCCGUGCCAGCAGCCGCGGUAAUACGGAGGGUGCGAGCGUUAAUCGGAAUUACUGGGCGUAAAGCGCGCGUAGGCGGCUUUGUAAGUCGGAUGUGAAAGCCCCGGGCUUAACCUGGGAAUUGCAUUCGAUACUGCAUAGCUAGAGUAUGGUAGAGGGUAGCGGAAUUCCGGGUGUAGCGGUGAAAUGCGUAGAUAUCCGGAGGAACACCAGUGGCGAAGGCGGCUACCUGGACCAAUACUGACGCUGAGGAGCGAAAGCCAGGGGAGCAAACGGGAUUAGAUACCCUCGUAGUCCCUGAGCGGGCUGGCAAGGCGCAU
RNAcentral lists this ribosomal RNA (447 nucleotides) under uncultured bacterium. RNAcentral's name for it is "bacterial SSU rRNA". It matches the Rfam family "Bacterial small subunit ribosomal RNA", at positions 355 to 825 of the family's 1533-position model. The record is from RNAcentral.